GACGAACGCUGGCGGCGUGCUUAACACAUGCAAGUCGAACGGAAAGGCCCUGCUUGCAGGGUGCUCGAGUGGCGUACGGGUGAGUAACACGUGGGUGAUCUGCCCCUUACUUUGGGAUAAGCCUGGGAAACUGGGUCUAAUACUGGAUAGGACCAUGCUGUAGGUGGUGUGGUGGAAAGAUUUUUUCGGUAAGGGAUGAGCUCGCGGCCUAUCAGCUUGUUGGUGGGGUAAUGGCCUACCAAGGCGUCGACGGGUAGCCGGCCUGAGAGGGUGGACGGCCACAUUGGGACUGAGAUACGGCCCAGACUCCUACGGGAGGAAGCAGUGGGGAAUAUUGCACAAUGGGCGCAAGCCUGAUGCAGCGACGCCGCGUGGGGGAUGACGGCCUUCGGGUUGUAAACUCCUUUCAGCCAUGACGAAGCCUCUUUUGGGGUGACGGUAGUGGUAGAAGAAGCACCGGCUAACUACGUG
This 471-nucleotide ribosomal RNA is filed under the name uncultured bacterium. RNAcentral describes it as "partial 16S ribosomal RNA". It matches the Rfam family "Bacterial small subunit ribosomal RNA", at positions 28 to 507 of the family's 1533-position model. The record is from RNAcentral.